CAAAUGGUUUUCUUUAACCGCAACCCCUUGUUGGAAUUCAAAACCACCAAAAUAAAAUUAUAAAAAUUGU
Molecule: non-coding RNA, 70 nt
Organism: Gossypium raimondii (Peruvian cotton)
Lineage: Eukaryota; Viridiplantae; Streptophyta; Magnoliopsida; Malvales; Malvaceae
Source: Rfam